CAUCUGGUUGUGUACUUCGCUUGGAAGGAGAAACGGCCAGAUGUGUGAUUAUAUACUGAUUAUAUACUGAUUCGUGGGCUGUAACCACUGGUCGGGCUGGAUGAAACUUGGAAGGAACAUAAUUGGAAAAUUGGUGAUAACAAAAUUGGAGGAAGAGGUAUGUGAAUAGACUUCUCUGAAUGGGCAAAGAAAAUGUAAAGAUAUUUGUGUCUCGUGUGAAUGCUCACUAAAGGGUAACCCCAGCAGGAUAGGAUUUUAACAAUCAAGAUAGGAUGACUCAUUCUGUGGAUACCAGCCAGCUUCUUUCCUCAGCCACUCCUGUCAUCACCCAAUGGGCUCAUGAAGAAAGUGGCCAUGUUGGUUGCGAUGGAAGCUAUGCAUGGGCUCAGCCACACAGACUUCCACUGACCAAGGUGGAUCUGGUUACAGCCACCAUUGAGUGCUCAAUCUGCCAGCAGCUGAGACUCUGAUAUGGUACAAUUUCCCAGCAUGAUCAGCCAGAUACCUGGUGGCAGGCUGAUUACAUUGAACUGCUUAUAUACCAUGGAAAGGACAGCAUUGUGUCCUUAUUAAAAUAAACAGUCUGGAUACAGAUUUUUCCUUCCCUGCAUGCAAUGCUUCUGUGAACACUACCAUCCCUGGACUUACAGAAUAACUUAUCAUCAUGGUAUUCUUCAUAUCAUUGCUUUUGACCAAAGAACUCACUUCAAAGCCAAAGAAGGGCAGCAAUAGCACUUGUGCUCAUAGGAUUCACUGAUCUUGCUGGAGUAGCUGGCUUUGUAGAACAGUGGAAUGGCCUUUUGAAGACUCCAUGCCAGCUAGGUGGCAAUACCUUGUAGGGCUGGGGGAAGGUUCUCCAAAAGUCUGGGUAUGCUCUGAAUCAGUCUCCAAUAUAUGGUGCUGUUUCUCCAAUAGCUAAGAUACAUGAGUCCGGGAAUCAAAGGAUGGAAAAGGAAAUGACACCGCUUACUAUUACCCCUAAUGGUCCACUAGCAAAACGUUUGCUUCCUGUUCCCAUGACUUUAUCCUCUGCUGGCCUAGAGAUCUUAGUUCUAGAGAGAGGAAUGCUUCUACCAGGAGACACAACAAUUCUAUUGAACUAAAACUUAAGACUGCCACGCAGCAACUUUGGGCUUCUCAUGCCUCUGAGUCAACAGGCCAAGAAGGGAGUUACAGUGCUGCCUGGGGUGAUUACUCUGGGAUACCAAGGAAAAAUUGACUACCACUGCACAAUGGAGGUAAAGAAGAGUAUGUCUGGAAUACAGAAUAGCUGAGAUCAACCUUGAUUGCCUUUUAAGUCGAGUAAAUUGGAGGACAGGCUGCCCAGUAUCUUAGUUCUUCUAAGACUGCUUGCAACCCAGAAAGUGUGAACAGUGUGAUGACGAAUGCUCUUAAGACCAGGAGUUCAAGCUUAACUCCCAACCCCUUGAGUGUGGGCUAGACUUAGUGACCUGCUUCUAAGGAAUAGAGUAUGGAAAGAGGAAAAUAGCAACAUUACAGGAGAGAAACCUGAAAGCAACUUAACCAAGUGAUCACAGAAUCACUGGUAAUAACUCUUGUUGAUAUCAUGUGCCCCCAAUACAGUAUGAUGAAAAGACCCAUCAUCUCUGUGAUAUUUAUCCUCAAAAUCUAUACUCUUACAACAAUUAUGAGAAAAUAUAGACAAACCCAAUUUGAAAGGAAGCAAGUCUACAAGAUACUUAACCAGUACUUUACAAAAGUGACAAGGUCACAAAAGACAGCACAAGACUGAGAAACUCACAGAUUGGAGGAAGCCAAAGAGACAUCAUGGCUGAGAUCAUGAUGGUGGAACCCUGGUUUGGAUCCUGGAACAGAAAAAAAGAACACUAAGUGGAAAAACUGAU
This 1865-nucleotide long non-coding RNA is filed under the name Pan troglodytes (chimpanzee). RNAcentral's name for it is "long non-coding RNA NONPTRT011653". Lineage: Eukaryota; Metazoa; Chordata; Mammalia; Primates; Hominidae. The record is from RNAcentral.